CACGUAGUUAGCCGUGACUUUCUAAGUAAUUACCGUCAAAUAAAGGCCAGUUACUACCUCUAUCUUUCUUCACUACCAACAGAGCCUUACGAGCCGAAACCCUUCUUCACUCACGCGGCGUUGCUCCAUCAGACUUUCGUCCAUUGUGGAAGAUUCCCUACUGCUGCCUCCCGUAGGAGUUUGGGCCGUGUCUCAGUCCCAAUGUGGCCGAUCAGUCUCUCAACUCGGCUAUGCAUCAUUGCCUUGGUAAGCCGUUACCUUACCAACUAGCUAAUGCACCGCAGGUCCAUCCAAGAGUGAUAGCAGAACCAUCUUUCAAACUCUAGACAUGCGUCUAGUGUUGUUAUCCGGUAUUAGCAUCUGUUUCCAGGUGUUAUCCCAGUCUCUUGGGCAGGUUACCCACGUGUUACUCACCCGUCCGCCGCUCGCUUGUAUCUAGUUUCAUUUAGUGCAAGCACUAAAAUCAUCUAGGCAAGCUCGCUCGACUUGC
RNAcentral lists this ribosomal RNA (490 nucleotides) under uncultured Lactobacillus sp. RNAcentral's name for it is "partial 16S ribosomal RNA". Lineage: Bacteria; Bacillati; Bacillota; Bacilli; Lactobacillales; Lactobacillaceae. The record is from RNAcentral.